Mauremys mutica (yellowpond turtle) is the source of this 533-nucleotide long non-coding RNA. RefSeq lists it as uncharacterized. The transcript is spliced from 4 exons. Lineage: Eukaryota; Metazoa; Chordata; Testudines; Geoemydidae. The record is from RefSeq and is a predicted model, not a curated record.
UUGGACAGAGAAUUCAUGUGUCUUUGUACAUGAAGUACUUUUGGCAGCAGUACUCACCCAGAAGCCAGCCUCCCUGGGUCUCAUCACUCUUAUGGUACCUCUGGAGUCCUGAGCACGGUAGCAUAGGAGUCAUGAUUGGAUUCUGACUUCCUGAUUACCUCAGUGGUAAAGAAAAUUGCCAUCUCAGAUGGGUCAUGUGGGAAGUAGUGUUUCUCUUGUAGGUCAUAUUCUACAGUCUGGAUGGCUUCAAGGGAUGGGAGUAACACUCACAAGCACUGGUUGCUGUUUGAAAGAUGAAUUUCUUCAAGUGCUCUUCAACUGAGUCAUGUUGAGUUACCUCUCCAGCUGGCCCUUUGUGGGUAAUCAGAAAGAAAGAUCAGCAACUUGAAAUAUACACAUAUACAAGGAAAGGAUCACAGUAUGGUUUCCAGUGGAAUUCACAUGUGGUGAUUUUCCUCACUUGAUGCAUCAAAGAAGAGAGGUCAUAUUGAUGUGAGGCACAGAGACAGCUCUGAAAUCUGCUAAAGAACCAC